This 380-nucleotide ribosomal RNA is filed under the name uncultured bacterium. RNAcentral's name for it is "bacterial SSU rRNA". It matches the Rfam family "Bacterial small subunit ribosomal RNA", at positions 777 to 1156 of the family's 1533-position model. The record is from RNAcentral.
AUUAGAUACCCUGGUAGUCCACGCAGAAAACGAUGAAUGCCGGCUGUCCGUUCCGAGUGAGGGCUGGGUGGCGAAGCGAAAGCGAUAAGCAUUCUACCUGGGGGGGACGCCGGCAACGGUGAAACUCAAAGGAAUUGACGGGGGCCCGCACAAGCGGAGGAACAUGUGGUUUAAUUCGAUGAUACGCGAGGAACCUUACCCGGGCUCAAACGUGACUGGAAUGUCCGCGAAAGCGGGUAGCCCUUCGGGGCCGGUUACGAGGUGCUGCAUGGUUGUCGUCAGCUCGUGCCGUGAGGGGUCGGCUUAAGUGCCAUAACGAGCGCAACCCCUACCGACAUUUGCUAACAAGCGAAGUUGAGGACUCUGUCGGGACUGCCGGC